Non-coding RNA from Myotis davidii, 75 nucleotides. The record is from Rfam. Lineage: Eukaryota; Metazoa; Chordata; Mammalia; Chiroptera; Vespertilionidae.
GGUGGUUCUUGGGUGACGCAGCCUGGAACUGGGAUCCCUCCUCUCUGGUUCCAGGUGCGUCACCCGAGAACCACA